AAAUAGGGUUCUGGUAUACUCGGUUGUAAGGGAAAUGGUGUCAUAAAGGGAAUCAGGAAAAUGCCAUUAAAUGGUUACCAAAAAGGAGAAGAAAGCAUGGAGGAAAGUAUAAAGGCUACGAGUGUGGACCUGAGACAAAGUGGUUGCUACCUGCAAGAAGCUUGGAAGAGUGAGCAGGAAACCUUAGUAAGAGAUGAGGAGGGAAGAGCUGCGGGACCGUUAAACUUCUGAGAAGAGGUGGAAGGAAGAGAUUUGGGGCAAAGACAGAAUACGUUUUCAGGAGAGGCUACUUGGAAAGAUACGAGGAGAUAAGCAUGCUGUUGAUGUCUCGCAUAGCAGAUACAGAAGGACAAGAAGACUGCCAGAAGGUAUUUGUAAUUGAAGGACAAGACGGAUUUUAAGAGAUGAUGGAUCAUUUAGAAGACAUCGUAUCUCAAGUACCAAGCUGUGGAGAACUGGACAAGGAGAUGUUUCUUUCUUUUCCUGCACCUGUGUCUUGCCAACAAACACUAUAUGUGCCAGUUCAUCACAAACUGAUGACAAGGAGGAGCAAGCAAUCGAUGGUCAGGUUGUGACUGCGAUGAAGGCAAUAACAACAGUACUGGAGCAAGAAAUCCCAGAGCAGCUUGACAGACAAAAACUUAUACAUGAGACAGGCAUACCUGCUUUGAAGCAUAUUUUAGAAGAUAUACAGCUGAAAGGACCAGGAAAUGUAACUUUUAAAAUUCUGGUUGUACUCUUUUUGGUUAAAUUAUGGAAAAGGCUGUGA
Molecule: long non-coding RNA, 769 nt
Filed under: Apteryx haastii (Great spotted kiwi)
Lineage: Eukaryota; Metazoa; Chordata; Aves; Apterygiformes; Apterygidae
Description: lncRNA (ENSAHAG00000010889.1)
Source: RNAcentral